AUUGAACGCUGGCGGCAGGCCUAACACAUGCAAGUCGAACGGUAGCACAGGAGAGCUUGCUCUCUGGGUGACGAGUGGCGGACGGGUGAGUAAUGCAUGGGGUGCUGCCCAAUCGAGGGGGAUACCAGCUGGAAACGGCUACUAAUACCGCAUACGCCCUGAGGGGGAAAGGUGGGGACCUUCGGGCCUACCGCGAUUGGAUGCACCCAUGUGGGAUUAGCUAGUUGGUGAGGUAACGGCUCACCAAGGCGACGAUCUCUAGCUGGUCUGAGAGGAUGACCAGCCACACUGGAACUGAGACACGGUCCAGACUCCUACGGGAGGCAGCAGUGGGGAAUAUUGCACAAUGGGGGAAACCCUGAUGCAGCCAUGCCGCGUGUGUGAAGAAGGCCUUCGGGUUGUAAAGCACUUUCAGUGGGGAGGAAGGGGUGAUGCCUAAUACGCAUCAUCAUUGACGUUACCCACAGAAGAAGCACCGGCUAACUCCGUGCCAGCAGCCGCCGUAA
RNAcentral lists this ribosomal RNA (506 nucleotides) under uncultured bacterium. RNAcentral describes it as "partial 16S ribosomal RNA". It matches the Rfam family "Bacterial small subunit ribosomal RNA", at positions 30 to 523 of the family's 1533-position model. The record is from RNAcentral.